CCUACGGGCGGCAGCAGUAGGGAAUAUUGCUCAAUGGGGGAAACCCUGAAGCAGCAACGCCGCGUGGAGGAUGAAGGUUUUCGGAUUGUAAACUCCUUUUGUUAGAGAAGAUAAUGACGGUAUCUAACGAAUAAGCACCGGCUAACUCCGUGCCAGCAGCCGCGGUAAUACGGAGGGUGAAAGCGUUACUCGGAAUCACUGGGCGUAAAGAGCGGGGAGGCGGGAUAGCAAGUCAGAUGUGAAAUCCUAUGGCCUAACCAUAGAACUGCAUUUGAAACUGUUAUUCUAGAGUAUGGGAGAGGUAGGUGGAAUGCUUGGUGUAGGGGUAAAAUGCAUAGAUAUCAAGAAGAAUACUGAUUGCGAAGGCGACCUGCCAGCGCUUAACUGACGCUGAUGCGCGAAAGCGUGGGGAGCAAACAGGAUUAGAUACCCCAGUAGUC
Molecule: ribosomal RNA, 440 nt
Filed under: uncultured bacterium
Lineage: Bacteria
Description: partial 16S ribosomal RNA
Rfam family: Bacterial small subunit ribosomal RNA
Source: RNAcentral